UCUUCUUCUUCUUCUUCUUCUUCCUCUUCCUUCUUCUCUUCUCCUCUCUGUUUUUCCUUCGUUCUUCAGCUGGGUGAUGGUUGAGAAAAUAAAUCAGUGAUUAGGAGAUGAAUAAAGAUGAGAUGGCUUAUGCAUUGUCUGUUGGUGGUGGUGUUGCUUAGGGUAGAUGAUUCGGAGUUGAUGAAAAGAGUUUCUGAAUUCAUUGAAGAUGUGAUUUGAGAUGAUUAAGGAGAAACUAAUGAGUGGGAUUUGAAUAGCUUGAGUUAAAGAAGAAGAUUAUGAUGUUAAUUUGAGGAUUCAGUUAGUAAGAAGAACUUUAAUUGGGAAAUUAAGAAAUUAGGGUUUCAUCUGAUUUGAGGUUGUUUGGAGUCGAUUAAGUUUAUGGGGGCGAUGAUUGAUGAGAAUUAAGAUGGGUUGUUGUUGAACCAUCGAUUGGAAGAUACUCUGAUGAAGAAUCACGAAACCAGGUAAAUUAGGGUUCUUCAAUUUGAAUUUGUUUUCUUGUAAAUUUGAUAAUAGAAGAUGGAUGUUAGAUGGGUUUGUAUGUGAAUGAGAUAGAUUGAAAGAAUGAAAACGGUGGUGAUGAAUAUGAUGAGCUGGGUUGUUGUUGAUCUGAGUUGCAGAUGUAGUAUUGAUCUGGUAGUGUUAUUUUGAGUUGAGUUGAUAAAAUUGCUUAGUUUCUUUGUUUGGGAAUGAACCGGGUUUAAGAUAGUUGUGGAAUGGAGUUGUAAUGUGUUUAUGAUGAAUGGCAGGAUAUUUGUAUUGUGUUGAGAUGUAAUUGUGGAUGAAGUUACAAUUAGUAGAACUGUGUAUAUGAAUGAAUCAGUAAGUGUGCUGCCAUACUGAGAUUGAUAAGAUUGUGGAAUUAAGAAGUUGGGGUAUAAAAUGAUUUACACAGGGUGUUGAUGUCUGAAGUUGAUUACGGAGGAUUGGGAUGAAAAUGAGUUUAAGACAGGGUGUGUGUAGAAUUGGAACUGGGGACUGAAAAUGUAGAUGAUGGUAGUAAGGAUAUUGCAAGCAGUGUAAUAAUUGAUGAAGGUAUUGCCUGAGUUGGAUUUGAUGAAUGUAGAUGGUGGUGUUGUUGUUGCUUAGGGUUGUAAAUGCAAGGGAGUUGAAGUGUUGAAUGUUGCCUAGGAUUGGAAUUGCAGAUGGUAGUGACCUGAGAUGGUAUGAGUGGUGGUGUAGAAUGUUGCUGUAUCUUGAGUUGCGAGAGUAGAAAUUGUAUAGGAGUGUGGUGUAGAUUCACAGUUGGAUAGCCUUCUUGAAAGCCUGCUGCUACUGCAAUUGCAGUUAGUUAUUCACAACGAUCGAUUCAAAGGAUGAACCGGUAGAUCGUGGAUCUCGAGGUAGCCGUGGCUUGUCAUCAAAAGAGUUUUCAGAGACAGAUCAAGAUGUGCAUGUGGUGACGAAAGCUUCGAGGAUUUAAUUACGAUAGUUAGAUAACUUUCUGCUAUUUCUAAUUUGUAUUUAUAUUCUAUUUGCAAACCAGAACUAAUGUAUAUGUAUCACUUGGGAGGAGUUCUUGUAUAUGUAUUUCUGAGCGGGGUUAGUUCUUGGGUUAAGUUUUUGUAGCAGAUUUCUUAAUCGAAUGUUUAAGUAUUUGUUUUGGAUCGUA
Papaver somniferum (opium poppy) is the source of this 1615-nucleotide long non-coding RNA. RefSeq lists it as uncharacterized. The transcript is spliced from 2 exons. NCBI's taxonomy places the organism in Eukaryota, Viridiplantae, Streptophyta, Magnoliopsida, Ranunculales, Papaveraceae. The record is from RefSeq and is a predicted model, not a curated record.